UUAAUAUGAAGAAAAAAAUAUCCACGACACCAGAUAUUAGGCUAUUACAUUGGCACUGUGCAGUUUGCCGGUUGGGACCUUCCAUAUCAGAGGAUUUACAUGUUCGUUUUCCUGAGUAGUUGGGAGAUUUCCAUCAAACUAAGUCACGUAACUGUUAAUUUCUUGGAGGUAAAGGUCAGAAGUUGUAGUAAUUUGCAUGAUUCGAGGAUAAUCGCCUAUGUUCAACACAACCUUGUGACUUGCCGUUCCAGUACUUCAAUUAAAGAAAGCUGCCGUCGAAAUUUGGCGAGUUCAGGAUUGAAACGUUGUCAUUGCUGCUGAGUUAUGAGAACCGCCACCUAGUGCCUCACACUUAAACUAAUCACGUAACCUGCAUAAACGAAAAUGGGUGGCGCAAACUCAAUACCUGGACUGGAGACAUGGUACCCAAAUGCCAAAGAAAAGGACUGUAAGUGUGCGAAAUGUGGCGUGACACUCCUCUGUGAGUUGGUGGCCUGCAUGGGGCAGCAGACGUAUGCAUUUAUGAAGCAGGCUUUGGGAAAAGAAACCGUCACCAUUUCGAAGAAGGUUGGUGUGGGUUUCGGUCCGAAGGGACCGACAGCCAGCGCUGGGUCUGAGAGGUCAGUAACAAUCGAAAGGGGCGAGUGGCUCAUCACUUAUCUCCGUAGAUUAGAUUCCAAACACAUGUGCACCGAUUGUUUUAGGAAAUCUUUUCCAAAAGAGUUCGCGGGUAUUCUCCUGUCAUCUGUUGGAAAGGCCAAGGUGAUUAAUUCGCAGUACGAAUGGCAUACAAUGAGCUACGGAACGACAUAGUGAUUCCUGAAUUCGUAUAUCUAUCAUGUUGCACGUAGGCAUACAUCCUUCUUUAUUUCCGAAUCAAGUUGGUAUAUAUUUAAGGUAAAACGUUUUCAUGUAAAGUAAACGAUUGAUGUUAUCAUGUGGGUUCAUGUUUAAUAUGGAUAAUGCAAUGACAACGUGAUGGCUAUUUUACAUCGCACAACGAAAACAAACAUUCUGUAUCCCCUAGGAGACCAUUUAAAUCCACAUGUGAAUUACUUGAUCAUCGUAAUUGUCUUUGGAAUGGGGUAGUUUUUUGGUGUUCAGAGUUAUAAAAUGGACAUGCAACAAUAAAGCGAUUUUCUAAUUUUAUUAUGCAGUGGGUUUUCAUUGUGGUGUAACAUAAGCAAAUACCUGUGGUUCCUUUCAAUUAUUUUAAUCCUUUGUUUUCUUAUUUCGAAGGUUUUUGUAUUAAUGCAAUAUGAUAUUUUUAAUCUUAAGGUUGUUUUAUCCGAGUUGGUUCUAGCGAAAGUAAUAUACGUUUUAUGUAGCGUUGUAAAUAUCGCAUGAUACCUGAUUUCAUGUUAUCCAAAAACUGCGUUUAUUUCAAUACCCUGCGCGAAAUACUGUAAAACCAUUAUAUAGAUGGAAUGAAAGUCCAAUGUUAUUGUAAUGGACGAAAAGAGCUGGUGAGGAGUUGAUGUGCGAAUGUGGUUUACUUAUUGAAAAGAAUGGUCCUUGGUGCAGGUAAUUUUACACUAUAAUACACUUCAAAUAUUGUAUCUAUAUUAAUUAAGAUUUCGUGCUUAUGGACUUUUAAUGGCAAAAUUAUGGUACUUUUUUAAUCAAACUAUAUACAUGAUUUUAGUAGUUACUGAAGUGGAAAUGUAAGAAAAGUAAGACAAAAUAUGUACAAUUAUGAAUGAAAUUAACGAUUUUAGAGACUAUGCAGGUCCGAAAAUAAACUCGAAUAAGACAGAAGUUGUAAAACUGAAUAUUGUAGAUACAAUUUUGUUAUGAUAAUGACAUUAUAUACGGAUAAACCUGUUAAAUAUUUAGGAGUAUAUUAUGUGGGCGAAAAUAGGAAACUGUUACAAGAUUUAAACUGGAACGUGAAAAAAGAUAAAAUUCGAAAUUUAUUAAAUAUGUGGAAAAUGAGAGAUCUUACAUCUGGUACAAUAAUUGUUUUGAAAAUGUUAGCAGCGUCACAAAUUGGUCAUACCGCAACUGUUGUACCAGUACCAAAAUACAUUUUACAGAUAUUGAAUAGACUAUUGUUUUGUCUCUUAUGGAAUUCAAAAAAAAAAAUUAAACGUAAUGUGAUUAUAAAUGAUAUUGAAAAUGAUGGAUUGAAUAUCUUUACUUCGUUUGGCAUGAAUAUCUGUAAUUUGAAAAAUGUGUUUAGAUACUGGUCAGACAAAAUUGUUUGCCACUUUGUUCAAUUUUAAUAUAAAAUAUAUGAAUUGAUUAUGCUCUAAACAUAAUUUGCCAGAAUUGUAUGUGGACCUUUUUUGUACUUGGUCAGAACUAAGAUUCAUUGAUAUGUUUAAAGUAAGAAAUAUUCUAAAUGAAAUUAUUUGGAAAAAUAGUAAGAUUACCUUUAAGAAAACAUAUUGUUUUCUCGAUAAUUGCAAGAUGCCGGCUUAUUGAAAAUUCAUUUAGUGAUUACAACUGGUAUUUGGAAUGACUCUUAAUUUAUUAAUAAAAAUGAACGCACAACAGCUCCUAUUUGAUUUUGAAUAUACAAAAUUAAAGAAAGCAUUUCCGCAGUGUCGGUUAGAUAGAUUGAGGAAUGUCAAUGAUUUUGAAGAUGAAUGUGAUAUUUCGAAUCUUAAUAAAAUAGAAACAGGGGAUAAAGUAAAUGAUCUUCUUUUGAAAGUGAAAGAUUACUAGCGUUUGUUAAUAUGGAUGAAGUUUAAAAAACCAAUUGUCAUUUAUUUUUGGAAUUCCUUUCUAGAUUUAGGUGAUGACUUUGUUUGGAAGGAUGUAUUUUCAUUUAAAUUAAAGCAAAUUCGUAAUAAUAAAGUUAAACAGUUUAAUUUCAAGAUGAUUCACAGGUUUAUUGCCUCAAAAGAAAAUGUACAUGAAUGGCAAAAUGUGAAUAAUAAUUUAUGCAACACUUGUUGACAAUUUGAUUCACUAUAUGUUAUAUUGCAAGGAUGUGAUUAUGUUUUGGAAAAUGAUAUGUAAUUUGAUAUUUCACCUAUUCCACGUAGAAAUACAAAUAAACCAACAUAUAUCAGUUGUGUCUAAGGACCUAUAGGCCUAUAGUCUUCUGAAUAUUAUUUUUGAUUAUGCUCAAUAUGCAAUUAAUAAAUAUUACGUUAAAAGGAUUGUCAAUGGUUCUGUUAUUUACCCGCAUGCUUUGCUUUUUCAAUACAAGUCGUUGCUGAGAUUGUUUUGAAGGUAAUAAGGAAUUAAUACUAAGCUGAAGAAUUGUUGAAUAUACUUUAAUAUUUAGCCAAUAUUAUUUUUCACUCAAUCACUGAGUAAUGAAUGUAAAUGAUCAUGUAUUGAAAUUAUGGAAAUAAAGACCAUGCUUGAGGAUUC
Molecule: long non-coding RNA, 3327 nt
Organism: Strongylocentrotus purpuratus (purple sea urchin)
Lineage: Eukaryota; Metazoa; Echinodermata; Echinoidea; Camarodonta; Strongylocentrotidae
Exons: 3
Source: RefSeq, a predicted model, not a curated record